UACGUAGGGUGCGAGCGUUAAUCGGAAUUACUGGGCGUAAAGCGUGCGUAGGCGGUUCUCCAAGUCCGUUGUGAAAGCCCCGGGCUCAACCUGGGAAUGGCAGUGGAAACUAGGGGACUGGAAUCUGGCAGAGGGGGGUGGAAUGCCGCGUGUAGCAGUGAAAUGCGUAGAGAUGCGGCGGAACACCGAUGGCGAAGGCAGCCCCCUGGGCUGAGAUUGACGCUCAUGCACGAAAGCGUGGGGAGCAAACAGG
This 253-nucleotide ribosomal RNA is filed under the name uncultured bacterium. RNAcentral's name for it is "partial 16S ribosomal RNA". It matches the Rfam family "Bacterial small subunit ribosomal RNA", at positions 524 to 776 of the family's 1533-position model. The record is from RNAcentral.